This is a long non-coding RNA of Hypomesus transpacificus, 1030 nucleotides long. RefSeq lists it as uncharacterized. NCBI's taxonomy places the organism in Eukaryota, Metazoa, Chordata, Actinopteri, Osmeriformes, Osmeridae. The transcript has 5 exons. The record is from RefSeq and is a predicted model, not a curated record.
UGAAGAGAGUUUGUAAAUGCGCAGGAGUUGAGAAAUAUUGAGUGUUGGAAUUUAUAGCCAGGCGCCGCCCUGACUGUCAGAGUUCGAGGCGGUGGAGAUGGUAUUCUGAAUAGAAAACUUGGGAAACAGGACAGACUAGCUCAAAACUGGGAUUAUCUGUAAAGAAUAGUUGGACCACACCCAAUCUGCACUUGUGAAGGGUUGGUAAAGGUUGGUACCACUGGUGUGAUGGGUGUAUGUGUGGAGGGGGAGGAGAAAUGUGCAAAGUGCUCCUACAGUAUAUAAGUACCCACACCAUCUUUUGCCUGCACUUUGCUUCCCCUCAACUCACCCAGCACACAGAUCACGCUCUAAUCGCAAACCAUGGAACCAACCACCCUUGAGAUGGGAUUGAUCGCUCUUGUUACGACUUUUAAAAAGUAUGCAGGAGAGGGCAGACAACAGACUCUCAACAAGGCCGAGCUAAAGAAUCUGCUGGCCAGUGAGCUUCCUCAUCUGAUGGCGAAAGGGGGAGACCAAGUGGAUGAGGUGAUUGACAUGUUGGACAAGGACGCUGAUGGGAGUCUUGACUUUCAAGAGUACUUCACUCUAGUUGCCGGCUUGGCUACAAGUGUCCACACCGCACUGGAAAAUCACUAAAACGUUUUUGAAAAAAAUGUUUUUUAGAGUCAACGGUGUCUAUAGACAGUGGUUAUGUUAAAGGGGCAAUUGACUGCAAAACCGAUUUUACCUUGUCAUUGUUGAAAAACGACAGUUUGGAGGGUAAACUGAACAUACCGUGAAUAUCAAAGUCCAUUGACACCUCUUUCCUAUUCAAAUCUCGAAAAGAAAAAAAAUUGCUGUAAAACGCUAGCUUUUCAACAAAGCCACCGGUCCUACGUAGGACCGGUGAUCGCCCUCUUAUUGGCUCUGGUCUGUAUCUUUGUCACGCCCCGGAAUUUACAUCCAGACCAGCCCGAGGUAGCGUCUAUCUCCGAUACUAGUUUAGCUGCGCGCUGCUCUGUGUAGGCUACUUAUAAGGAAUUACAAA